GAUGAACGCUGGCGGCGUGCCUAAUACAUGCAAGUCGAGCGAACAGAUGAGAAGCUUGCUUCUCUGAUGUUAGCGGCGGACGGGUGAGUAACACGUGGGUAACCUACCUAUAAGACUGGGAUAACUCCGGGAAACCGGGGCUAAUACCGGAUAAUAUUUUGAACCGCAUGGCUCAAUAGUGAAAGACGGUUUCGGCUGUCACUUAUAGAUGGACCCGCGCCGUAUUAGCUAGUUGGUAAGGUAACGGCUUACCAAGGCGACGAUACGUAGCCGACCUGAGAGGGUGAUCGGCCACACUGGAACUGAGACACGGUCCAGACUCCUACGGGAGGCAGCAGUAGGGAAUCUUCCGCAAUGGGCGAAAGCCUGACGGAGCAACGCCGCGUGAGUGAUGAAGGUCUUCGGAUCGUAAAACUCUGUUGUUAGGGAAGAACAAAUUUGUUAGUAACUGAACAAAUCUUGACGGUACCUAACCAGAAAGCCACGGCUAACUACGUGCCAGCCGCCGCGGUAA
RNAcentral lists this ribosomal RNA (514 nucleotides) under uncultured bacterium. RNAcentral describes it as "partial 16S ribosomal RNA". It matches the Rfam family "Bacterial small subunit ribosomal RNA", at positions 28 to 523 of the family's 1533-position model. The record is from RNAcentral.